GGCUUGGUGGUCUAGAGGUAUGAUUCCUUCUUAGGGUUAAUGUUUGGAGGAGGUCCCGGGUUCAAUUCCCGGCCAAGCCC
Molecule: non-coding RNA, 80 nt
Organism: Fomitopsis serialis
Lineage: Eukaryota; Fungi; Basidiomycota; Agaricomycetes; Polyporales; Fomitopsidaceae
Source: the annotation of a RefSeq genome assembly